Molecule: ribosomal RNA, 253 nt
Filed under: uncultured bacterium
Lineage: Bacteria
Description: partial 16S ribosomal RNA
Rfam family: Bacterial small subunit ribosomal RNA
Source: RNAcentral
UACGUAGGGUGCGAGCGUUAAUCGGAAUUACUGGGCGUAAAGUGUGCGCAGGCGGCCGAGCAAGUCGAGUGUGAAAGCCCCGAGCUUAACUUGGGAACUGCGCUCGAAACUACUUGGCUAGAGUGUGGCAGAGGGAGGUGGAAUUCCACGUGUAGCGGUGAAAUGCGUAGAGAUGUGGAGGAACACCGAUGGCGAAGGCAGCCUCCUGGGCCAACACUGACGCUCAUGCACGAAAGCGUGGGGAGUAAACAGG